UGUUAUUAUUAACAAUGUCAGUUCCUG
Molecule: small RNA, 27 nt
Filed under: Bombyx mori (domestic silkworm)
Lineage: Eukaryota; Metazoa; Arthropoda; Insecta; Lepidoptera; Bombycidae
Description: ovarian small RNA-36068
Source: RNAcentral